Molecule: ribosomal RNA, 431 nt
Filed under: Sordaria fimicola
Lineage: Eukaryota; Fungi; Ascomycota; Sordariomycetes; Sordariales; Sordariaceae
Description: SSU rRNA
Rfam family: Eukaryotic small subunit ribosomal RNA
Source: RNAcentral
GUAAUUCCAGCUCCAAUAGCGUAUAUUAAAGUUGUUGAGGUUAAAAAGCUCGUAGUUGAACCUUGGGCCCAGCCGGCCGGUCCGCCUCACCGCGUGCACUGGCUCGGUUGGGCCUUUCCUUCUGGAGAACCGCAUGCCCUUCACUGGGUGUGUCGGGGAACCAGGACUUUUACUCUGAACAAAUUAGAUCGCUUAAAGAAGGCCUAUGCUCGAAUACAUUAGCAUGGAAUAAUAGAAUAGGACGUGUGGUUCUAUUUUGUUGGUUUCUAGGACCGCCGUAAUGAUUAAUAGGGACAGUCGGGGGCAUCAGUAUUCAAUUGUCAGAGGUGAAAUUCUUGGAUUUAUUGAAGACUAACUACUGCGAAAGCAUUUGCCAAGGAUGUUUUCAUUAAUCAGGAACGAAAGUUAGGGGAUCGAAGACGAUCAGAUAC